UGACGAGCAGAAGUGGAUUAGAUAGCAUGACAAGCAGAAGCGGAUUAGAUAGUUCAUAGCGCUCUUUCCCCUUUCUGUUUCUUAGUUCAUUAUGCAUGUCUUGUUUUUAUGAAUGAGUGGAUAACUCCCACUGUCCAAACUCUGAUGAUGCUUUUUUUCGUGUCGUUGAUUCUGCAGGCUCUGAGAUUUUUUUACAUGGAUCGAGAUAUUAUAAUGUGUGCCUUUGUAAUUCCUAGAUGACCAAGAUAAAUUGACGAUGCAUGGCUCACAUGUUGAUUGCAAGGUUAAGAAUGGAGCUACUACAAGAUAGUUAGAAUGUCAUUCUUAGGAUCAAUGUUUCAAACAUUAUAGUUGAUUGCAAGGUCAAGAAUCGGGCUAUUACUAGAUAGUUUCAUCUCUUGUAAUCUUUGGACAAUGCUCUUUGUAAUGCAAAAUGCUUGAUUUAAUAUAUGAGAUCUCUCUGUUUAUUA
Aegilops tauschii subsp. strangulata is the source of this 470-nucleotide long non-coding RNA. RefSeq lists it as uncharacterized. NCBI's taxonomy places the organism in Eukaryota, Viridiplantae, Streptophyta, Magnoliopsida, Poales, Poaceae. The record is from RefSeq and is a predicted model, not a curated record.